Octopus bimaculoides (California two-spot octopus) is the source of this 1179-nucleotide long non-coding RNA. RefSeq lists it as uncharacterized. The record is from RefSeq and is a predicted model, not a curated record. NCBI's taxonomy places the organism in Eukaryota, Metazoa, Mollusca, Cephalopoda, Octopoda, Octopodidae.
GAGGAGUGUGGUGGACAUUGUUUUUGAGACCAAGAAGUAUUUUUCUUUUAAAUAUGUUGUAAAUACAAUUUGCUAAAUGAAACAAUAUAUUUUGAAAGAUCUUGUUUUACUAAGUAUUACAAAAUGAGUCAUAAGCAGUCACUAGAAAAUGAUUUGAACAAACUGAACAAUCUCUCAUCAUUGUCACAAACAAGAAUGCUGGAACAGCUGUAUGAUAAACACUUAGGAGUAGCUGUUAAGUACAUACAAUACAAAUGCACAGUUCCUACUUGUGCCCAAAUAUGGAAGUGGUUAAAUAUGAAUUGUGGGACUUCAAUAAAGUACUAAUUUUUUGCUUUAAUAUUAUCAAAGAACAAGUAGUAAAUUUAGAUAAAGUUAAUGCUUAAAUAAGCAUGAAGAUCAAUAAAAAUAAUUCAACACAAAAGUAAACAAAAUCUAAGCCAAUCCCAAACUAGUAAAGCAGAGGAAUUAACAGUUGUAUUUCUAUAUAAGUGGUGCUAGAGAUCCUAACAGUUGUGUGUACACACACAUUUUAGCGUGGCUCCUGUAUCAAGAUGACAUCCAAAUUCGUGAAGGGCUCCAUAUUUUUAGGUGCAGGUAUGGCUGUAUGAACAUUUUACUUCAAGCAUUCUAACUUGGGCCUUGACAUUACAUCUCUUGAAAUGUCAAAUUCAGCCAGUUUUAGUUACUUGGAUUCUGCUCUCAUUCAUGGUAACUUUAAUUCUGAGUUACAAAUAAUCACUCAUCUAAGUGACUUGAAAACAGAAUUCAUCAGAUACUUCCCAGAUAUAGAUGAAAAGCAUGAAACUUGGAAAUUUAUGAGGAACCCAUUUCAGUGUGAAGUAACUGAUGCUUUGGACGUUUUCUUGAGUUGAAGUUCAACUCCCCAGCUAAAGAUGACCUCAAAGAACUGGAUCAAGUACCUUCCUGCUUACCCUCUGAUCUGACAUCAGGCUCUUUGGAUUUUAGCUAUGUUUGGAUCCAAGUACCUUUGUGAAGCUGCAUAUUCCAUGCUUGUUGUUGUCAAGACCAAGUACAGAAACAGGUUGAACAUUGAAAGGUACUUAUGUGGUACACUCUCUAGCAUCCAAGAUCUUGUAACUAAGAGGUAGUGUCAAGUAUCUCACUUUUUGUAUGAUGUGAUUAUAAAUAAAAUAAUACAAAUUUUGUAUAAUGUAA